CAGUCGCCGCGGGAAUACGAAGGUGCAAGCGUUAAUCGGAAUUACUGGGCGUAGAGCGUGCGUAGGCGGUGAGUUAAGUCUGCUGUGAAAUCCCCGGGCUCAACCUGGGAAUGGCAGUGGAUACUGGCUCGCUAGAGUGUGUCAGAGGAUGGUGGAAUUCCCGGUGUAGCGGUGAAAUGCGUAGAGAUCGGGAGGAACAUCAGUGGCGAAGGCGGCCAUCUGGGACAACACUGACGCUGAGGCACGAAAGCGUGGGGAGCAAACAGGAUUAGAUACCCGCGUAGUCCCUGUCUCUUAUACC
RNAcentral lists this ribosomal RNA (301 nucleotides) under uncultured bacterium. RNAcentral's name for it is "partial 16S ribosomal RNA". It matches the Rfam family "Bacterial small subunit ribosomal RNA", at positions 509 to 808 of the family's 1533-position model. The record is from RNAcentral.